This 500-nucleotide ribosomal RNA is filed under the name uncultured Myrionecta. RNAcentral describes it as "SSU rRNA". It matches the Rfam family "Eukaryotic small subunit ribosomal RNA", at positions 33 to 598 of the family's 1831-position model. Lineage: Eukaryota; Ciliophora; Litostomatea; Cyclotrichida; Mesodiniidae. The record is from RNAcentral.
AUUGUCUAAGACUAGCCAUGCACGUCUAAGUACAAACUAAAUGAUGGUGAAACUGCAAAUGGCUCAUUACAACGGUUAUGAUGUACCCGGGGGUUCCGAUGGAUAUUUCCAGUAACACUAGAACUAAUACAUGUCCCUGCGUUUAUUAGUUUCGCACAGUCCGUCGCUGAGUCAUGGUAAACAGUUGAUCGACUCGACGUCCCGGAACAGUUUCCGCCCCAUCAGCUUCGAUGGUUGGGUAUUGGCCUACCAUUGCAACAACGGGUAACGAGGAAUUAGGGUUUGAUUUCGGAGAGGGAGCCUGAGAAACGGCUACCACAUCUACGGAUGGCAGCAGGCGCGCAAAUUACCCAAUGCAGACACUGUGAGGUAGUGACGAGAAAUAAUAAAGCGGGACUUCUGUUUCGCUAUUAUAAUGAGGAAUAACCAAAGGUCAUUCCGAUUAGCAACUGAUGGGAAAGUCUGGUGCCAGCAGCCGCGGUAAUACCAGCGUCAGUAGC